Molecule: ribosomal RNA, 385 nt
Filed under: uncultured Allobrachymonas sp.
Lineage: Bacteria; Pseudomonadati; Pseudomonadota; Betaproteobacteria; Burkholderiales; Comamonadaceae
Description: bacterial SSU rRNA
Rfam family: Bacterial small subunit ribosomal RNA
Source: RNAcentral
CAGGAAUCCUGAAGAGAUUGGGAGUGCUCGAAAGAGAACCUGCACACAGGUGCUGCAUGGCUGUCGUCAGCUCGUGUCGUGAGAUGUUGGGUUAAGUCCCGCAACGAGCGCAACCUUGCCAUUAGUUGCUACGAAGGGCACUACUAAUGGGACUGCCGGUGACAACCGGAGGAAGGUGGGGAUGACGUCAAGUCCUCAUGGCCCUUAUAGGUGGGGCUACACACGUCAUACAAUGGCCGGUACAGAGGGUAGCCAACCCGCGGGGGGGAGCCAAUCCCACAAAGCCGGUCGUAGUCCGGAUCGCAGUCUGCAACUCGACUGCGUGAAGUCGGAAUCGCUAGUAAUCGCGGAUCAGCAUGUCGCGGUGAAUACGUUCCCGGGUCUU